Molecule: ribosomal RNA, 253 nt
Filed under: uncultured bacterium
Lineage: Bacteria
Description: partial 16S ribosomal RNA
Rfam family: Bacterial small subunit ribosomal RNA
Source: RNAcentral
UACGGAGGGUGCGAGCGUUGUCCGGAAUCAUUGGGCGUAAAGGGCGCGUAGGUGGCCUGGUCAGCGUGCGGUGAAAGCUCGGGGCUCAACCCCGAGUCGGCCGUGCGAACUGCUGGGCUUGAGCACUGUAGAGGCAGGCGGAAUUCCGGGUGUAGCGGUGGAAUGCGUAGAGAUCCGGAAGAACACCAGUGGCGAAGGCGGCCUGCUGGGCAGUUGCUGACGCUGAGGCGCGACAGCGUGGGGAGCAAACAGG